CCUACGGGGGGCAGCAGUGGGGAAUAUUGGACAAUGGGGGCAACCCUGAUCCAGCCAUGCCGCGUGUGUGAAGAAGGCCCUCGGGUUGUAAAGCACUUUCAGUGAGGAAGAACGCCUGGUGGUUAAUACCCAUCAGGAAAGACAUCACUCACAGAAGAAGCACCGGCUAACUCCGUGCCAGCAGCCGCGGUAAUACGGGGGGUGCGAGCGUUAAUCGGAAUUACUGGGCGUAAAGCGCGCGUAGGUGGCUUGAUAAGCCGGUUGUGAAAGCCCCGGGCUCAACCUGGGAACGGCAUCCGGAACUGUCAAGCUAGAGUGCAGGAGAGGAAGGUAGAAUUCCCGGUGUAGCGGUGAAAUGCGUAGAGAUCGGGAGGAAUACCAGUGGCGAAGGCGGCCUUCUGGACUGACACUGACACUGAGGUGCGAAAGCGUGGGUAGCAAACAGGAUUAGAUACCCCUGUAGUC
This 465-nucleotide ribosomal RNA is filed under the name Vreelandella stevensii. RNAcentral describes it as "partial 16S ribosomal RNA". It matches the Rfam family "Bacterial small subunit ribosomal RNA", at positions 338 to 795 of the family's 1533-position model. Lineage: Bacteria; Pseudomonadati; Pseudomonadota; Gammaproteobacteria; Oceanospirillales; Halomonadaceae. The record is from RNAcentral.